RNAcentral lists this ribosomal RNA (433 nucleotides) under uncultured bacterium. Its description in RNAcentral is "partial 16S ribosomal RNA". It matches the Rfam family "Bacterial small subunit ribosomal RNA", at positions 29 to 507 of the family's 1533-position model. The record is from RNAcentral.
AACGAACGCUGGCGGCAUGCCUAACACAUGCAAGUCGAACGAGACCUUCGGGUCUAGUGGCGCACGGGUGCGUAACGCGUGGGAACCUGCCUUUAGGUUCGGAAUAACUCAGAGAAAUUUGAGCUAAUACCGGAUGAUGUCUUCGGACCAAAGAUUUAUCGCCUUUAGAUGGGCCCGCGUUGGAUUAGCUAGUUGGUGGGGUAAAGGCCUACCAAGGCGACGAUCCAUAGCUGGUCUGAGAGGAUGAUCAGCCACACUGGGACUGAGACACGGCCCAGACUCCUACGGGAGGCAGCAGUGGGUAAUAUUGGGCAAUGGGCGAAAGCCUGAUCCAGCAAUGCCGCGUGAGUGAUGAAGGCCUUAGGGUUGUAAAGCUCUUUUACCCGAGAUGAUAAUGACAGUAUCGGGAGAAUAAGCUCCGGCUAACUCCGUG